AUUGAACGCUGGCGGCAUGCCUAACACAUGCAAGUCGAGCGGCAGCGCGGGGGCAACCCUGGCGGCGAGCGGCGGACGGGUGAGGAAUGCAUCGGAAUCUACCUCGUUGUGGGGGAUAACCUCGGGAAACCGGGACUAAUACCGCAUACGACCUACGGGUGAAAGUGGGGGACCUUCGGGCCUCACGCGAUGAGAUGAGCCGAUGCCGGAUUAGCUAGUUGGCGGGGUAAAGGCCCACCAAGGCGACGAUCCGUAGCUGGUCUGAGAGGAUGAUCAGCCACACUGGAACUGAGACACGGUCCAGACUCCUACGGGAGGCAGCAGUGGGGAAUAUUGGACAAUGGGCGCAAGCCUGAUCCAGCCAUGCCGCGUGUGUGAAGAAGGCCUCGGUUGUAAG
Molecule: ribosomal RNA, 397 nt
Filed under: uncultured bacterium
Lineage: Bacteria
Description: bacterial SSU rRNA
Rfam family: Bacterial small subunit ribosomal RNA
Source: RNAcentral